GCGGUGGCCUCCGAGGCGUGGGCGCUGCGGGCCGAGAGUGCGAGCUGCGAGGAGCCGCGGGCGCCGUCGCAGGGGCAUGAGCCGGAUGAGUCCGAGGAGGAGGAGGCGGGCGACGUGGAGUCCGCGUGGCCGGCCCAGCCCCAGCCCGGGGAGAAGACCCAGGGGUCGAGGCCAACGAGGCCGUGCGGAGGCGGCGGGGAGCGGGCCAUGGCCGGAGCUGCGGGCUGGGAGACUGGGGCCACUUCCAGGACUGAGCUUUUAUCCGGACUAAAGAUUGUCGCUGAGAAAAUCAUCUCACUGCCCAUGUUUUUUUCUACACCUGAGAACUGGAACCCAGCACCCUGAAGAAGACAGAGGAGGCACAGUGGGCCAUGGAAAUGGGUGAAGGUGGCCCCUAGGUUGGCCUUUGUCUGUUGUGUGGCCUUGGGCAGAUCACUGACUACCUGUGGGCCCAGGUAGCCUCAUCCUUCCGGUAGUAACAGAAGAUGCCUGCUGCCUGGGAUGAUCCCUGUAGAGCGCUUGGAAUCACAGGCCUUUUGCUGGUAUCAUUUUAGAAAGAAGGUAUUAACAUCAAGGCACUUACAGGCAUUAUUCAUUUAAUUAAUAUUUAUUUAGCAGCUGGUAAAUGCCAGUCAUGCCAGGGUGACCAAGCUAGUAACCACCUCUGCUCUCCUGAGAUUUUAGUCUUGAAAGACACAUGAAUAGUCCAUUAUAUAACUAGUAGGUCCACCACUAGGUAGGGGCCCUUGGGCAGGACCUUUAACCUGAACUUAACCAGAGCUAAGUCAAACAGGAAUAAUAAUUAUAGUAUCUAAUCACAGGACUGAUGUGAGAAAUGAUUGACUGUAAAAUUUACAAAGUAAAUGUUCUCAGCAACAAUUAUACAUUAAUGGAAGCAUCAGGGUCCUUGUGAUGUCAAGGGAAAGUGCUGAGCCUGAAGGCUAAGAGGACCAGAGACAGUAGGGCUCUGGGCACUGAGGUGGAGGUGUCACAUCUGGGCCCUGAGACAGGAUUUGAGCAGGGAGAGGGAAGCGGGAAGAACAUUCUAGAAGGAUCUGCACAAGCAGAGGCCUGGCAGUGGACCCCCAGGGCACUGGAAGGCUGGGGUUGGGCCAAGGAGUUGGGUGUUGUUCCCAAGGUCAUAGGGAGUCAUAGGGACUUUUGAGAAAAAGGGUGACAAAUUUUAAAAAAUCAGCCAUCAACUAAAGGUCAACCUGACAACAACAAUCAAAAUAGAUCAGCCCACAGCAGCCUGAGAUAGCAGAGGGCCUUGUAAAUUUUUCAUGGCUGUUUUUAAAAAUUAAUUUUUAAUUACCCUUUCAUAAUCAGUACAUUUCUCUGGGAGAAAUGGAAAUAAGAUUGAUGAAGCUGGAGUCCCUUUAACCACACCGUGUCUCCCUAGAGGCGACAGCAGUUGUUCGGUUGUGCAUUUGCAUAAACUCAGGUAUCCUUAGAAGCCACAUAGUGCUUACUGUGGUUUGGUCUGCUCCCCCUGCCCCCCCGCCUGAUUUCCUGUGCUGGAAGCUUGGUUCCCAGUGCAGCAGGUUGAGAGGUGCACCUUUGGGGGUGACUGGGUCUUGAGCCCUCUGCCCUCCUGAAUGAUCUGUUCACUGCAGGAUUGGUAUGCUCUCCGGAAGAGGCAUUGCUAGGAAAGCAGGUGUGCUCUAAUAUGCUUGCUCUGUCUCUCCAUGCAAUGUUCCCUGCCCUCCCCAGAUGCCUGCACCAAACUUUUGGACCGCCCAGCCUCCAGACUGUCAGAAAUACAUUUCCUUACAAAUUACUUAGUCUGUAGUAUUCAAUCAGCAGUAGAACGUGGGCCAAGACACUACUCAUGGAGGCCUGUUGCGCAAACCCUGCAUUGCAUGUCUCACCCUGUAAUAUGCUGAAUUUUUUUUUCUUUCAUUAAACAGUGUAUGACCAAAGACCAUUCUGUGUCAGGACUCCUUUUUUCCAGUAAUGGGUCAAAUUGCUGGGCACACACAUUCAAUACCAGCACUCUGGGAGGCUGAGGCAGGAGAAUUGCAAGUUCUAGUGCAAUCUGGCAACUUAGUGACUUAGUGAGACUCUGUGUCAAAAUAAAAAAUAAAGGGGCUGGGUUGAGUCAUUUGUAGGAAAAUGGAUGCACCUCAAGUGAC
This is a long non-coding RNA of Heterocephalus glaber (naked mole-rat), 2135 nucleotides long. Lineage: Eukaryota; Metazoa; Chordata; Mammalia; Rodentia; Bathyergidae. The record is from Ensembl.